UAGGUUUUAAUUUCACCCAAAUCCAACUCUCCCUCCUUUGCACCCCAGAUCUACCUCCACCCCUGAUCUACCUCCUUCGCAUGCCAAAUUUGGUUCACCUCCGCGUGAUUAGUGGUGGCAAUGAUUCUCCCUCCUUCGCACACCAGAUUGAGAACCAUACCCCACACCAACGUGAAGGCCACAAGCCCGCCCCAAAAACCCUAAUCACACCCGUAUCCUUCACUGCCGACAUAUCCUUUGUUUUUCGAAUCAUUUCCGUUUAGCUUGAAACAUAUGUCCGUUACUAUCGUUGGUGGAUUUUCAUUACAUCUAAGUUACACUAGAAAGGGGCUGCCAAAAAAUAGGGUGUUAUGAGCCGAUUGGAAGUUCUACUUACCUGAUGUUCUUUCAAGCUUUUCUUCCGAUGAAAUUCUACUUCAGGUAUCAUUAUCGGGUUACAGGAUUGAUACACAAGAUGAGGUGUAAUUUAAACCCAUAUCUUUCAUAUGCAAGUUCGAUAGAGCCAUUAGCACUGGCGGAUGUGUAGAUACUCUUAUCAACAACCAUUGCGAUUUUGUACAUAUGAUUGUAUUCACUUUGUGAAGAGGUGCCUAUGCAUAUAUGGAGCAUGAGGAUGAUGGAACAUGUAUGUUCUUUAAAGAAGGGAUUUGCAAAAGGCAAUGCCGUUCCCUACAUAUCCUCAUGAAUAUCAUAAUCCAAAAGCUUCCAGUGAUAUCAUUUCAGAUGAAACAGUCUCAACAUGGAGCAUCUUGAUUCACCCAUGUUCGAACAGAAAAAUCUGGACCGUCGAAAAUUCAUUAAGUUUUAUUGUUAUUGGAUGGCGUAACCUAAUGAAUCCAUAAGAAAUCUCCAUAGGCGAUGCUUGUGUGUUCAAAGAUCUAUGAGGCAAGAGAAGAGGGAUUGCUUAUGAAAUGUUACAGUGUGUACAUGGAUGAACAAUAAUAACCAAAGAUGACGUUUAGGAACCUUAGUGAUCAAGUAUGAAGAAAAACUCAUUGGUAGUUCACCAAGAAAAGGUAUAAAAUGGUAGUUAUUUUUACUAUCAUUGGGCAAUAUACGAAAGCUUUGUUUGGUAGACCUACCAACUUAAGGAACAUAUGAUUUCCUCUAAAGAUGAAGUUAUUUAAAUCAAAUCUGGUGGGUUGAGAAAACUUAUGCUGGAGGCUGUUACGUUUGGUUCCCUUUUGUGGGAUGUUGAGAGCUACGCUGGUUCCAGGAUCAGGUUAAGAUGAUGAUAGCGGAGUCUUCAUGACAGACAUGAUGGAGUGGACGCAUAUGUUGUAUGUGGUCGUGGGAUUGCAUGGCUAGGAUCGAACACUACAUAUGAUAACAAGGCGUUUCCUAUUACAAAGAAGAUGAAGAUGUCUAUUGUUUUAUUAGUGACACUUGUGAUUGUGUGAUUUAUUUUAUAUUGUAUAUAAAUAACAGUUUUAUGUAAUCAAAUUAAUUUGAUGAACAUUUGUAGUGCCAAAGAAGAUGUUUGUUUU
This is a long non-coding RNA of Helianthus annuus (common sunflower), 1487 nucleotides long. RefSeq lists it as uncharacterized. The transcript has 8 exons. The record is from RefSeq and is a predicted model, not a curated record. NCBI's taxonomy places the organism in Eukaryota, Viridiplantae, Streptophyta, Magnoliopsida, Asterales, Asteraceae.